Molecule: non-coding RNA, 279 nt
Filed under: Phascolarctos cinereus (koala)
Lineage: Eukaryota; Metazoa; Chordata; Mammalia; Diprotodontia; Phascolarctidae
Source: RNAcentral
GCUAAUGGUGCCAGCUACUGGAGAGACUGAGGCUGGGUGAUCUCUUGAGAGAUCUCUUGAGUUCUGAGCCAAAGUAGUCUGAUUGGGGGUCUACACUAAGUUUGGCAUCAUUAUGGUGAAUACCUGGGAGUUGGGGGCCACCAUAUUGUUUAAAAAAGGGCAAUCUAGCCCACAUUACAAAUGGAUCAGUUCAAAAUUCCUGUGCUGAUCAGUAGUGAGAUUGGACUCGUGAGUUGCCCUAUACUUCUAGCCAAGUGGAGACGUGGAAACUCAGUCUUA